This 495-nucleotide ribosomal RNA is filed under the name uncultured bacterium. RNAcentral's name for it is "partial 16S ribosomal RNA". It matches the Rfam family "Bacterial small subunit ribosomal RNA", at positions 28 to 523 of the family's 1533-position model. The record is from RNAcentral.
GAUGAACGCUAGCGGGAGGCCUAACACAUGCAAGCCGAGCGGUAUUGUUUCUUCGGAAAUGAGAGAGCGGCGUACGGGUGCGUAACACGUGUGCAACCUGCCUUUAUCUGGGGGAUAGCCUUUCGAAAGGAAGAUUAAUACUCCAUAAUAUAUUGAACGGCAUCGUUUAAUAUUGAAAGCUCCGGCGGAUAGAGAUGGGCACGCGGAAGAUUAGCUAGUUGGUGAGGUAACGGCUCACCAAGGCGAUGAUCUUUAGGGGGCCUGAGAGGGUGAUCCCCCACACUGGUACGGAGACACGGACCAGACUCCUACGGGAGGCAGCAGUGAGGAAUAUUGGUCAAUGGGUGCAAGCCUGAACAAGCCAUCCCGCGUGAAGGACGACUGCCCUAUGGGUUGUAAACUUCUUUUGUAUAGGGAUAAACCUACCCUCGUGAGGGUAGCUGAAGGUACUAUACGAAUAAGCACCGGCUAACUCCGUGCCAGCCGCCGCCGUAA